Molecule: non-coding RNA, 3661 nt
Organism: Manis javanica (Malayan pangolin)
Lineage: Eukaryota; Metazoa; Chordata; Mammalia; Pholidota; Manidae
Source: RefSeq, a predicted model, not a curated record
GCAGAGGCAUUUCCGGGCGAGACGACGGCGCCUGGGCGGGCCUUCCGGCGUUCUCUUCCGGCGGCAUUUUGUGAACUUGGAAAGGCGGCGUGCGGCAGCCGUCGGAGUCCUGGGCCGGCCUGGGCGGGAGACCGCCGUGCCCGCUGCUCUGAGGCGGGUCGAAGGCUCGUGGCGGGCCCAGCGGGCAUCACUCGGGCUUGCUCUGCUGCUGGGCCGGCCUGCGGACACGGAGCCUGGUACCUCUGCUCCCGGCCCCGCCCCGCCCACUGACUCCGGCGGGCUCCGUUUGAGGUAAAGGGCUGGGUCCUGCGGGCCCUCACACAGCUCUUCUUACUCGGCUUCCAAGCUUCAUACUUUUGUUCUUUUGCAUGUCCUCUUAAUGUUGUUGGCACGGAGAUGAGCCACCUUCUCAGCAGGAUAUGCCAUGGGAGUAUCUGUCUACCCAGAAGGCCUAUUCCUGGAAGAUGGGUAGACUGGGCACAGAAGAUGAUUUGCAUCUUAGCUGAGGACCUGCACCAGCAAAUCCUGGGCAGAAGCUGUGUGGAGCGUAUGGGGAAUCUCACAGGUUACCGGGAGCAGCACCGCAGAGAGAAACUCUUCAGAAAGGGCGGGACAUGCCUCCUGCAUGCAGAGCUGCCCAGUCAGUGUGUCAGAGGAGCCCUUCCCCUGCCAGGAGGUGGCUUUCCGCCGUGGCCCUCCAGCACCAGCCUGCCCACAGCUGAGGGUGCAGGACUGUCACUUUGGAUCAGGCGCAGUGAAUGCAGGGAAGCCUUGUCACAUAGACUUCUCAGCACCAGCAUCCACACUAGAGAAAGAGGCCCUAUGAGUACAACGAAUGUUGGAAAACCUUCAGCUACAACAAACCUACUGUCCAGCAGCAGCCAGCAUAAGUGGAUGUGGCUUGUGGCCUAAAGCUCCCAUUCUCAAACCACCGGAGUCCAGGCUGGAGCACGCACAGUGCAAGGGAUGUAGGCGGUUGUUUCAGUCAGAGCUUCAGCCUCCCUGAACACCAGAGAAUUCACACUAGUGUAUGAGCACAUUGAAUGUGGAGAAAGGUCAUGCUAGAGCAUGUGGCCUCAUGAGUGCAGUGACUGGGGGAAAAGCCUUCAGUCCAAGGUCUAAGCUCUUAGCUAAAGUUCACACUUGAGAAGGCCUCACUGGCCCUCACAGACUGAUGCAGGUAGGUCACAAGCUGCAUGUUUGACACAACCCGAGAGGGGCAUCAACUUGAAGUUGACACCGUACAGUCCUAAUGAGAGAUUGUCUGUGAGCACAGGUUUCUCAGAGCUUCUAGAACUACACUGUACUGAACCUGCUCAGUCAGCUCGCUUUACAUGGCAGCAGGCUUUCCACGAUAGACGCCACCUCCUCGGCUCAGUGUAUAAGCUCUGCUGGCUGUCCCCUGCCCUCAGCCCUGGGGUGCUGUCAUUCUCUCCCAUCUGACUGGCCCCAUAGCACUAGGAUGGGCACCUAACAAGCCUUCUGACCAAGAGCCCAGCCUGCAUUUUGCUGAGGUUCUAACCUUCCACAGCCACUUUGGUUUCAUGAGUUGCUCAUGAUUUUAUUAGCCUCCACGUCAACCUUUGUAGGAAGUAUUUGGCUCAGUUUGGGGUGGUUUGUGCAAUAAGGACCUUAAUCAUUAAAGCCAUUUUUAUCUUGGGGCUUCUAGUCAGCUGGUAAUGUUGAAAACAGGUGGACUCUGCGAGGAUAAAGAAGCGAACAAGCUCUCUCAGGCCUCACCUCAGUGAGAGAUCGUGGCAGAGAAGUCACCAAGGUUUGCUGGAGCUAGACUGCAGAGUUUUGUAUCUAAUGGAAGCCAAUUUGUGGGCCCAGAGGGUCCCCCUGAGAGGAUUGUUGUAAGAACCACCGCUGUUUUAGAGAGGGCAUAUAAGCCAUCUGGUGUCACUGAUUCCUCUGGGCAUCAGGUAGGGGGCCUAACACACCACAGGGGAAUGUCUAUCCUAAAUUUGCAUCCAGAAACGUCCCAAUGACUGUUUAGGAUAAAGCCUUUUGUCAAAAUUCUCACACCCUGGCAAGCGUAAAGGUUAAGCUUUUACACCUCCAGUGGCAUGCCAACUGGGGACUGAGAGUGGAAACACGUAGUCCAGACAUGUGAUUUUCGUGACUAGCAGAGUUCCUGGUAACUGAAAUGGAAACCCUGUUAGCAGUGCUCACUGCUCCGUGCAGCAGGGCCUCCCUCCCCUCCAGAGUUAAAAGGCGAGAUUGCUUUAUAAUUUUUCACAUGCAGCUUUGCAAUUUUAACAUUGUAAUUCCGGUACCCAUUCUUGUAUUUGUGGCCCUUCCUCCCUGAACUCCCAGGGCAUUUGAUUACUUUUUCAAUAUUCAGUUGGUGCUUUCUGGACUCUUGGUAAUUGGAAUCUUAGUCUGUUUACUGUAUUUUUUUACUCACCUUUUGUGGGUACAUAGUUUAUUGAGAAUCAUCCAAAAAAUGAAGAUGUACUUCUUUUAAUUCCCAUAAAACACCUUUUGUUCCUCUAAUCAACUAACCACUCCCAUUUUUUAAUGGGUUGGGGUUUUUGGUGUUCAGGUUCAACUAGCACCUAUGACUGUAAGACUAGAUUGUACUGUAAUAGAAACAUAGGCCACAACAUAACUUUAGUCUCUAUUAAAAUUCCCCAUGACUUUAAGGUGUAGACAGUUAAUAAAAACACCUUUGUUCGUACUAUUGUUUCCCAUUUCCCCCUCAUUAAAUACUUAAACUGUGGCCAAUUUCCCACAGAGAACAUGAUUAAGUCAUCAAAUGUGAAUUUGGAAAGAGAUGUGUGUGCAAGAGGUCGUGGCACCACCAUUAUAACCUGAGAAACACAGGAAUUAGUAAAAUAAUUAUGAAAGAAAUGACUUUGAGUUUACUGUGCAAUGAAGAGCAUGUCGCACUGCCGAGAAGGAAGCUGACAGGAGCUCUCCUGGCCUCUGCCCAGACAUUGUCCAGCCUGUGUCCUCACAAUAGAACUUUGCCGAGUUCUGAGAGUUCUCGUGAAAACCUGAGCUGGUCUUGGGGAUUGAAGAACUAAGACUACCUUUGUGUAUACCUCACUUUAAAAAUAAGGUGCACUGUUUGAUGACAAAACCAAAAGUUCUUUUGUGUCAUUUGUAUGACUCAUCCCCCUUCAAAAGGAAUGUAUUGGAAAUGCCAGGAACCCAGCUCCUAUAUUUUUUCAUCAUAUACCUAAUUAGAUGUGUUCUCUCACCACCACCCCCUUACACAUAAACAUAAACCCCCUGUGUCAAUGUCAUUUAACUUCUACAAAACAAUUUUCAAAAAACCAGCAGUACUUUUUUCAUAAAAAAUUAGGGUCACACCUCCUGUUACCUACAGAAAACCUGCCUUAACUUUAUAUAGCUGCUGCACACAAAUUACUGCCGCGACGGGGCACAUGAGUGAAGUCCUUUCCCAGAGCUUUGGUCAGUUGCAGUGGGCUGGAGUAUGGUUCCCAGUCAUUAAAGCCCAACAGUGUAGCAUCUUGCUUUGCGGGUCAUUAAAAUCAGCCUCCUCUGCAAAUACUGCCUCCCUCUGCCAAGUACCAUAAGGGCACCUGCAAGUACAUCAUUGGGCAAACAAAAGACACGCCCAUCUCAGAACCCUGAAUCGCAAUAAACGGAUGGUGCAUGUCUUUUUGAAUCUGGGAUCUUGUUUUCUUCG